GGGUUAAAUGUGGUAUAAUCUCCAACUGACAGUUCUCUUUAUUAUUGAAAGUAAUGCAGUAAAAACCUGAUGAAGAAAUGCACUGUACAUCUCCCUCUUUCUAUAAACCCAGUUAACCAUAAUAUUAUAUGACGACUCACUCAUUUAGGACAAUUUCUUGUUUACACAGACAAAAAUGCAACUGCCAAACUAAUUGAUUUCAAAAAGAGUAAAGGAGUGGAGGAUGGUGAUAUCAAGAUCCAAGAAGAAAUCAAGAAAGCUGCUAAUGUGGCAUAUUAUAUCCUCUCUGGUGGAGAGUCUUACCCUCAGUCUGACGGUGAUGGCAGUUGGAGUAACAAGUGCCUCAUCCUGGACCUCAUUGAGGGCAUGAUCCGCUCAGGAAGUCUGGAGUAUGCUCUCCACCACCCCAUCUUCUGGUCCGAGAUCCGACAGACGUGGUACCUGCAGGCUGUGGGGAACUUCAUAAUUCAUAGUAAAUAUGACGAAGGGGUCAAACGGAAACUCAUCAAAGCAUCCAAGGGCAAGUCUUUCAUGACGUGGCGACAACAGGUGGAAAAAGAUUUUCCUGGGCUUUUGGAGGGCAUGGAUAAGUAUUUGAAGACCCCCUACCCGGACAAUACAUGGGGGCUUCUGCGCUUCAUACGCAAUGUGUACCAACACAGAGCUGAGCUGGCCCUGUCCAUGAAGUUCACCUCACCUCACCUGACCUCUUUGAGACCGUCUACUUAUUUGCUGAGGAGAUGGGCUGGAACUCCAGGAGAUCUCUACAGGACAUCUUCACCGAAUGGGAGAGUCUUUGGCGUCACUGUGUUAUGACCUCUAUGUUUUACUGUCAUUUUCCCUGUUAAACACACGGGUUUUAAUCUGUUUAAGAGAUUUGAGAGAGAACUUAUUUGUGAAUUGGUAAAAAUAUAAUUUUGUGACUUGUAGAGAAUUUCUUUGGUCCAUUCAUCCAUUUCACAGCUGGCAUUUUCAAAUUAUGUAGAAAAAGGUAACGAUGCCAGAUUUUGCCCAAACAGAAAUGAGAGUUUUCAGAACAAAACCUCGUAUCUCCAUUUGUGAAAACGCCUGUUGUCCUUUAUAUUGUGUGUAAAUUUCAUGAUGAAUGGACAAAAAGAAACGGCCCAAAAUGAUGUGGAAAACAUUCUGGUUCCAUCGACUUACAUUAAAAGUAAAUGAGGUUUUUUCCUUCUCCUGUAAAGUUCCCAUUCUGGAGAUAUGAAGUUCUUCCAACAGCAGCAAUAAGUAAUGCUAUAAAUAACUACUUAUAUGCUCCUAAUGUUAAACGUGUAGAACACUGGACAACUUGUUUUCCAGAUUUUCUAGCUCUUUAGCAGCAGAUACGUCAUCUCACUCACUUCUUUCUGUUUGUAAUUUUUUAGAACCACCACAGUUUGGCCGAAGGGGGCGGUUCCACUGCAGCAGAGCCGUUUGUCCUGCACUGGCUGAAGCCAAUUUGCUGCCAAAUCCCGACCAGACCCCCAGCCUAACCCUGACCCUACAUUCAGAUCAGUCACUUUCAUUUCUGAAAUAAUUUCACUGCUAAAACCAUUUUUUCCAUCUUUUACACUUCCACUUUUUAAAUAGUUACUUUUAUUUAACGUUUCAAAAUGUGGCAGUUAACCCCAGUAUUGAAUGUCGCUGCCGCGUCCGGUCACUCCUCACUCGACACUCGGCUGAGACAGAGAGGAUGGAGAUAAAGUUUACAUCCAAACGUUUUUAUGAAGGAAUUUUUAUGAAGCUGCCAAGACGACAUUGAUUGUGAUUGUGAAAACUAUUCGCUCUUUAGAGAAAUGAGAGUUUAUACUUUUACAAAAGUAUUUAUUAAUCUUAUUCGGUCAAAUGUUCUGUGUGUUCGUGUCCUUUCAGUGUUUUGAUGACUAUAAAUAUGUUUAGAUGCUUGCAGAUUUCAUACAGGGCACUGAAUAUUUUAGUUUACUGUUAUGCAGUAAGGGCUCACUUGUAAUGAUUUUGGUGACACUUUCUCUGAAUUUCACCUUUGUCAGCAUCUAUAAACACAUUCAUAACAUGUUAUAAUGCAUUCAUAAGGCAUUAUAAAACAUGGCUAUAAAUAUUUAUAAAAAUGCAUUCUAUGUUAUAGCCAUGCUUAUUAUGCAUUAUGAAUUGUUAAUGCUUUAUAAGUGCUGUUCAUAACACAUUAUAAGAGCUCAUAAGCUGUAUUAGUCCGGUCUGUGUAAAGUGGAGCGUACUGGACUAAAGCCUCCUCCAGGGUUCAGACUGAGGCUUCAAGUUGAAGAAUUUACUGAAGGAUUUACUGAAACACUAAAACACAAUAAGCUCAUUACAGGCUUCAAAUGUCAGAGUUUAAACUAGAGCAACAUCAGAGUUUCACCCAAUGUGGGAAAGUCAAUGUUCACCACUGUUUCACCACUGAGGGGCUCACUUCUUUGGCACUGACAGUAUAACAUGUGUGGAUUUUUACGUCUUUAGUAGCAUACUUUUGAGUAUUAAUGUUUGUGGUCGCACACUUUUGAGUAUUAAAGUUUGUAGUAGUAUACUUUUGAGUAUUAAAGUUUGUAGUAGUAUACUUUUGAGUAUUAAUGUUUGUGGUCGCACACUUUUGAGUAUUAAAGUUUGUAGUAGUAUACUUUUGAGUAUUAAAGUUUGUAGUAGUAUACUUUUGAGUAUUAAUGCUUGUAGUAGUAUACUUUUGAGUAUUAAAGUUUGUAGUAGUAUACUUUUGAGUAUUAAUGUUUGUAGUAGUAUACUUUUGAGUAUUAAAGUUUGUAGUAGUAUACUUUUGAGUAUUAAUGUUUGUGGUCGCACACUUUUGAGUAUUAAAGUUUGUAGUAGUAUACUUUUGAGUAUUAAAGUUUGUAGUAGUAUACUUUUGAGUAUUAAUGCUUGUAGUAGUAUACUUUUGAGUAUUAAAGUUUGUAGUAGUAUACUUUUGAGUAUUAAUGUUUGUAGUAGUAUACUUUUGAGUAUUAAAGUUUGUAGUAGUAUACUUUUGAGUAUUAAUGCUUGUAGUAGUAUACUUUUGAGUAUUAAAGUUUGUAGUAGUAUACUUUUGAGUAUUAAUGUUUGUAGUAGUAUACUUUUGAGUAUUAAAGUUUGUAGUAGUAUACUUUUGAGUAUUAAUGUUUGUAGUAGCACACUUGAGUAUUAAAGUUUGUAGUAGUAUACUUUUGAGUAUUAAAGUUUGUAGUAGUAUACUUUUGAGUAUUAAAGUUUGUAGUAGUAUACUUUUGAGUAUUAAUGCUUGUAGUAGUAUACUUUUGAGUAUUAAAGUUUGUAGUAGUAUACUUUUGAGUAUUAAUGUUUGUAGUAGUAUACUUUUGAGUAUUAAAGUUUGUAGUAGUAUACUUUUGAGUAUUAAUGCUUGUAGUAGUAUACUUUUGAGUAUUAAAGUUUGUAGUAGUAUACUUUUGAGUAUUAAUGUUUGUAGUAGUAUACUUUUGAGUAUUAAAGUUUGUAGUAGUAUACUUUUGAGUAUUAAUGUUUGUAGUAGCACACUUGAGUAUUAAAGUUUGUAGUAGUAUACUUUUGAGUAUUAAAGUUUGUAGUAGUAUACUUUUGAGUAUUAAAGUUUGUAGUAGUAUACUUUUGAGUAUUAAAGUUUGUAGUAGUAUACUUUUGAGUAUUAAAGUUUGUAGUAGUAUACUUUUGAGUAUUAAUGUUUGUAGUAGCACACUUGAGUAUUAAAGUUUGUAGUAGUAUACUUUUGAGUAUUAAAGUUUGUAGUAGUAUACUUUUGAGUAUUAAAGUUUGUAGUAGUAUACUUUUGAGUAUUAAAGUUUGUAGUAGUAUACUUUUGAGUAUUAAUGCUUGUAGUAGUAUACUUUUGAGUAUUAAUGCUUGUAGUAGUAUACUUUUGAGUAUUAAUGUUUGUAGUAGCACACUUUUGAGUAUUAAAGUUUGUAGUAGUAUACUUUUGAGUAUUAAAGUUUGUAGUAGCACACUUGAGUAUUAAAGUUUGUAGUAGUAUACUUUUGAGUAUUAAAGUUUGUAGUAGUAUACUUUUGAGUAUUAAAGUUUGUAGUAGUAUACUUUUGAGUAUUAAUGCUUGUAGUAGUAUACUUUUGAGUAUUAAUGCUUGUAGUAGUAUACUUUUGAGUAUUAAUGUUUGUAGUAGUACACUUUUGAGUAUUAAAGUUUGUAGUAGUAUACUUUUGAGUAUUAAAGUUUGUAGUAGUAUACUUUUGAGUAUUAAAGUUUGUAGUAGUAUACUUUUGAGUAUUAAUGUUUGUAGUAGCAC
Long non-coding RNA from Pygocentrus nattereri (red-bellied piranha), 4219 nucleotides. Lineage: Eukaryota; Metazoa; Chordata; Actinopteri; Characiformes; Serrasalmidae. The record is from Ensembl.